RNAcentral lists this ribosomal RNA (439 nucleotides) under uncultured bacterium. Its description in RNAcentral is "partial 16S ribosomal RNA". It matches the Rfam family "Bacterial small subunit ribosomal RNA", at positions 338 to 795 of the family's 1533-position model. The record is from RNAcentral.
CCUACGGGUGGCAGCAGUGGGGGAUAUUGCACAAUGGAGGAAACUCUGAUGCAGCGACGCCGCGUGAGGGAAGACGGUCUUCGGAUUGUAAACCUCUGUCUUUGGGGAAGAAAAUGACGGUACCUGUAUAAGCAGCCCCGGCUAACUCCGUGCCAGCAGCCGCGGUAAUACGGAGGAUGCGAGCGUUAUCCGGAUUUAUUGGGUUUAAAGGGUGCGCAGGCGGAUUUUUAAGUCAGCGGUCAAAUCGUGGGGCUCAACCCCAUCCAGCCGUUGAAACUGGGGAUCUAGAGUGUGCGAGAGGUAUGCGGAAUGCGUGGUGUAGCGGUGAAAUGCAUAGAUAUCACGCAGAACCCCGAUUGCGAAGGCAGCAUACCGGUGCACAACUGACGCUCAGGCACGAAAGCGUGGGUAUCGAACAGGAUUAGAUACCCUAGUAGUC